GCCAAAAUAAUUGGGGGAAUUAUUUAGAAGUAUCUAUGAUUUCAAUUUAAUUUUUACUCAUAUUUAUGUAUUUUUAAUGUUAUUAGUAAAGUUAAAAAUAUUUAAUUCUUUUUAUUAACCAAUCAACUUGAAUUAUUUAUUUUUAUUUUUUAAAAUUAAUUUAAAAAACAAAUCUUUUGACUAAUGGUGGAAUGCCACUUGGCAUUAUUUUUAUUUCUCUUUCUCUUUUCUCUUUUUUUUUUCCUUUUUUUUUUCUUUUUCUCCUUCAUUUUCUCUCUUUCUCUCUCCACGUUUCUUCUCCUCUCACUCACAGAUUUCCCUUUUCUCUUUUCUUCACUCUCUUUCCUAUUCUCUUGUCACCUCACUUCAACCCACAUAAAAAUAUUUAAAAAACAAAAUAUUUCUCAUCUCUCUUUAAAAGAGAAAACCGCCAAUGUUCUCAA
This 443-nucleotide long non-coding RNA is filed under the name Lathyrus oleraceus (garden pea). RNAcentral's name for it is "Pisum sativum (pea) long non-coding RNA (PSAT_LNC037080)". Lineage: Eukaryota; Viridiplantae; Streptophyta; Magnoliopsida; Fabales; Fabaceae. The record is from RNAcentral.